Molecule: ribosomal RNA, 382 nt
Filed under: Sus scrofa cristatus
Lineage: Eukaryota; Metazoa; Chordata; Mammalia; Artiodactyla; Suidae
Description: partial 12S ribosomal RNA
Rfam family: Bacterial small subunit ribosomal RNA
Source: RNAcentral
AAAACUAUUCGCCAGAGUACUACUCGCAACUGCCUAAAACUCAAAGGACUUGGCGGUGCUUCACAUCCACCUAGAGGAGCCUGUUCUAUAAUCGAUAAACCCCGAUAGACCUUACCAACCCUUGCCAAUUCAGCCUAUAUACCGCCAUCUUCAGCAAACCCUAAAAAGGAACAAUAGUAAGCACAAUCAUAACACAUAAAAACGUUAGGUCAAGGUGUAGCUUAUGGGUUGGAAAGAAAUGGGCUACAUUUUCUACAUAAGAACACCCACCAUACGAAAGUUUUUAUGAAACUAAAAACCAAAGGAGGAUUUAGCAGUAAAUCAAGAAUAGAGUGCUUGAUUGAAUAAGGCCAUGAAGCACGCACACACCGCCGGUCACCCU